GACUAACGCUGGCGGUAUGCCUUAGACAUGCAAGUCGAACGAGUUUCCGGGCUUGCUCGGAAACUAGUGGCGAACGGCUGAGUAACGCGUAGGUGACCUACCCCGUAGUGUGGAAUAACUGCCCGAAAGGGUAGCUAAUACCGCAUGUUGAGCCGACUUCACUGUCGUCUCCAAAGCAGAAAUGCGCUAUGGGCGGGGCCUGCGUUCGAUUAGCUAGUUGGUGGGGUAACGGCUCACCAAGGCGACGAUCGAUAGGUGGUUUGAGAGGACGAUCACCCAGACUGGGACUGAGACACGGCCCAGACUCCUACGGGAGGCAGCAGUCGGGAAUUUUGCGCAAUGGGGGAAACCCUGACGCAGCAAUACCGCGUGUGGGAUGAAGGCCUUCGGGUUGUAAACCACUUUUUUUGGGGACGAUAAUGACGGUAAAGGGAGAAUAAGCCACGGCUAACUACGUGCCAGCAGCC
This 467-nucleotide ribosomal RNA is filed under the name uncultured bacterium. Its description in RNAcentral is "bacterial SSU rRNA". It matches the Rfam family "Bacterial small subunit ribosomal RNA", at positions 28 to 516 of the family's 1533-position model. The record is from RNAcentral.